CACACCUCAAGCACCGCUUGGUAUUGGGCGCCGUCCUCUGCGGACGCGCCUCAAAGCCCUCGGCGGUGGCGUCCUGCCUCAAGCGUAGUAGAAUACACGUCGCUUUGGAGGCCGGGGCGUCGCCCGCCGGACGAAACCUUUGAACUUCUUCCAA
RNAcentral lists this unclassified non-coding RNA (154 nucleotides) under uncultured Botryosphaeriaceae. RNAcentral describes it as "sequence contains ITS2". The record is from RNAcentral. Lineage: Eukaryota; Fungi; Ascomycota; Dothideomycetes; Botryosphaeriales; Botryosphaeriaceae.